RNAcentral lists this ribosomal RNA (444 nucleotides) under Oribacterium sp. oral taxon 372. RNAcentral's name for it is "bacterial SSU rRNA". It matches the Rfam family "Bacterial small subunit ribosomal RNA", at positions 28 to 457 of the family's 1533-position model. The record is from RNAcentral. Lineage: Bacteria; Bacillati; Bacillota; Clostridia; Lachnospirales; Lachnospiraceae.
GAUGAACGCGGCGGCGUGCCUAACACAUGCAAGUCGAACGGAGUCCAGCCUUAGAGACCUUCGGGUCAAAGAGGGGAAGACUGAGUGGCGGACGGGUGAGUAACGCGUGGGCAACCUGGCUCAUAGAGGGGGAUAACGGAGAGAAAUUUUGCUAAUACCGCAUAAGCACACACUGCCGCACGGCAGAGUGUGAAAAGAGAAUCGCUAUGAGAUGGACCCGCGUCUGAUUAGCCAGUUGGCAGGGUAAGAGCCUACCAAAGCGACGAUCAGUAGCCGAUCUGAGAGGAUGAACGGCCACAUUGGGACUGAGACACGGCCCAAACUCCUACGGGAGGCAGCAGUGGGGGAUAUUGCACAAUGGGGGGAACCCUGAUGCAGCGACGCCGCGUGAGUGAAGAAGUAUUUCGGUAUGUAAAGCUCUAUCAGCAGGGAAGAUAAUGACAG